Molecule: ribosomal RNA, 693 nt
Filed under: uncultured Alphaproteobacteria bacterium
Lineage: Bacteria; Pseudomonadati; Pseudomonadota; Alphaproteobacteria
Description: bacterial SSU rRNA
Rfam family: Bacterial small subunit ribosomal RNA
Source: RNAcentral
GAGUUUGAUCCUGGCUCAGAACGAACGCUGGCGGCAGGCCUAACACAUGCAAGUCGAGCGCGCCCUUCGGGGUGGGCGGCGGACGGGUGAGUAACGCGUGGGAACGUACCCUUUGGUUCGGAAUAGCCUCGGGAAACUGGGAGUAAUACCGGAUACGGUCGAGAGACGAAAGAUUUAUCGCCGAAGGAUCGGCCCGCGUUGGAUUAGGUAGUUGGUGGGGUAAUGGCCUACCAAGCCGACGAUCCAUAGCUGGUUUGAGAGGAUGAUCAGCCACACUGGGACUGAGACACGGCCCAGACUCCUACGGGAGGCAGCAGUGGGGAAUCUUAGACAAUGGGCGCAAGCCUGAUCUAGCCAUGCCGCGUGAUCGAUGAAGGCCUUAGGGUUGUAAAGAUCUUUCAGUGGGGAAGAUAAUGACUGUACCCACAGAAGAAGCCCCGGCUAACUCCGUGCCAGCAGCCGCGGUAAUACGGAGGGGGCUAGCGUUGUUCGGAAUUACUGGGCGUAAAGCGCACGUAGGCGGACCGGAAAGUCAGAGGUGAAAUCCCAGAGCUCAACUUUGGAACUGCCUUUGAAACUCCUGGUCUUGAGGUCGAGAGAGGUGAGUGGAAUUCCGAGUGUAGAGGUGAAAUUCGUAGAUAUUCGGAGGAACACCAGAGGCGAAGGCGGCUCACUGGCUCGAUACUGACGCUG